This 497-nucleotide ribosomal RNA is filed under the name uncultured bacterium. RNAcentral describes it as "partial 16S ribosomal RNA". It matches the Rfam family "Bacterial small subunit ribosomal RNA", at positions 28 to 507 of the family's 1533-position model. The record is from RNAcentral.
GAUGAACGCUGGCGGCGUGCCUAAUACAUGCAAGUCGAGCGAACAGAUAAGGAGCUUGCUCCUUUGAAGUUAGCGGCGGACGGGUGAGUAACACGUGGGUAACCUACCUAUAAGACUGGGAUAACUUCGGGAAACCGGAGCUAAUACCGGAUAACAUUUAGAACCGCAUGGUUCUAAAGUGAAAGAUGGUUUUGCUAUCACUUAUAGAUGGACCCGCGCCGUAUUAGCUAGUUGGUAAGGUAACGGCUUACCAAGGCGACGAUACGUAGCCGACCUGAGAGGGUGAUCGGCCACACUGGAACUGAGACACGGUCCAGAGUCCUACGGGAGGCAGCAGUAGGGAAUCUUCCGCAAUGGGCGAAAGCCUGACGGAGCAACGCCGCGUGAGUGAUGAAGGGUUUCGGCUCGUAAAACUCUGUUAUUAGGGAAGAACAAAUGUGUAAGUAACUGUGCACAUCUUGACGGUACCUAAUCAGAAAGCCACGGCUAACUACGUG